Molecule: non-coding RNA, 115 nt
Filed under: Solanum tuberosum (potato)
Lineage: Eukaryota; Viridiplantae; Streptophyta; Magnoliopsida; Solanales; Solanaceae
Source: RNAcentral
GUAUAAACGAGAGCGAGAGCUGGUUGGCAUCUCCCCCAACAAGGAUGGCUUGGGGUUUCACCUAUUACCACACAUCCGUUUAAGGCAAUCCAACUCGAUAUAGAAAAAUCUUUGG